Papio anubis (olive baboon) is the source of this 3229-nucleotide long non-coding RNA. The record is from Ensembl. NCBI's taxonomy places the organism in Eukaryota, Metazoa, Chordata, Mammalia, Primates, Cercopithecidae.
GCUGACCUCUCCCAGGGCCCACGCAUCACACCAGGCAAGACUUUUUUCAUCUGCACACAGCACGGACUGGCACUGACUCCCAGCUGCCCUCCAGGCAGGAUGUGGACUCCCCCUGCUUUGUUCAUCAGUGUCAAAUGUCCCAGCUCUGGUUCCAACAAUAACACUGGCUCCUCGAACCUCCAACCCAAGGAACGGGUUCUGCCAAGACAAUGUGCCUUAGGAGCUGAGACUACCAGUGGACCAGAAUUCCAGCAGUUCUCCAGGGGCUGCCCUGUCACGAGGGCACUCAAGCUGCCUGCGGAGAGGCCCAUACGGGGAGCAUCUAAGGUCCCACCAACAGCUGGCACCAACUUGCCAACCAUCUGGGAAGAAGACCCUCCAGUCCCAGUCAAGCUUGCAAAUGGCUGUGGCUCUGGCUGAUGUCUUAACUGCAACCUCUUGAAAGACUCCAAGCCAGAACGUUCCUCAAUUUCUGACCCCCCAAGACUGUGAGAUAUAUUAAAUGUAUAUUGCUGUUUUAAAUUUCUAAGUUUUGGAGUGAUUUGUUACAUAGCAAUAGAUAACUAACAUAUAUCCUAUUGCCUUCCAAAACGGUUUUGAAACUGCAUAUAGGUAAAAUCAUAGCUUUAACUAAAUGAAAAGCUAUUAGAACAGGAUUUAAAAGAAGACAGAGAAAUAACAAAUAGGGUAGGUAUAGGGAGGAGUCUGGCUGUACUAGAAAACCUGGCUAAAGACAAAACAUAGCUCUAGGCUCCUUGCAAGCCAGGGCAAAAAUGGAAGCUUGAUGGGCCACAGUAAAACUUUUUGUGGUGGUGGUGGUGACUCUGAAUGAGGAUGUGCAUUUGACAUGCGGGCCUUUAGGUAAAUAGCAUCACACGGUCUGGUGGGUGGUAACGUGCAGACACUCCACCUACUGUAGAUCAGACUGCGUGUUUGAAAUGGUAAAUACAGUAGUGCAUAGAGUUCACGUAUAACUGUGCACCUUCUGCCAGUUUUCAGGAACUCCAGGCAUCAUAAAAAUAGAAAAAAUAUAUUAAUAUAUACAUACAUAUUCAAAAAAUAUAACUUUUAACAUAGGUACUAGUUUUUGUUUUUUGUUUUUUUGAGACAGAGUCUUGCUCUGUUGCCCAGGCUGGAGUGCAGCGGCACGAUCUCAGCUCACUGCAACAUUUGCCUCCCAGGUUCAAGCGAUUCUCCUGCCUCAGCUGCCUGAGUAGCUGGGAUUACAGCUGCCCACUACCAUGCCCAACUAAUUUUUGUAUUUUUAGUAGAGAUGGGAUUUUACCAUGUCGGCCAGGCUGGUCUCAAACUCCUGACCUCAGGUGAUCCGCCCGCCUCAGCCUCUCAAAGUGCUGGGGUUACAGGCGUGAGCCACUGCUCCCAGCUCAUAGGUACUAGAUUUUUUAAAAGGCAUAAAAGGAUUGCUAGUGGAAAGAAAGUCUCCAUUCCACCAAUCCCUUACAGGUCAGUUUCCUUUCCCAUGGCCAACCCUGUGUGAUUUCUGACUUAGACUUCCAGGGAUAUUUUAUACACAUACAAGCAAGUCAUGUAAAUUGUUACCCCCUUCAUUAUACUAUUAUACUAAUAGCAGCAUACCACAGGCAUUGUUCUGCACUGAGAGCUUUUUAUUACUCCAUAUUGACAUGACUCCAAGUAACAUCUUCCCCUAAUUAUCACAAUUUUUGAUUUUCUGAGUUUCUACUGUUUCAUUGUUCAACAUUGAGAAAUAUAAAAAAGUUGGUGGUGUGGCUCAUGCCUGUAAUCCCAGCACUUUGUGAGGCUGAGGCAGGAGGAUCAUUUGAGGCAAGGAGUUUGAGACAAGCCUGGGAAACAUAGCCAGAUCCCGUCUCUACCAAAAACAUUAAAAAAUUAGCUGGGCAAGGUGGCAUGUGUCUGUAGUCCUAGCUACUCAGGAGGCUGAGGCGGGAGGACUGCUUGAGCCCAGGAGUUUGAAGCUGCUGUGAGCUAUGACUGUGCCGCUGCACCCCAGCCUGGGUGACAGGGAGUUCCUGUCUCUUAAAAAAUUUAUAUAUAUAUAUACAUGCACACACUCAUACACAUACAUGAGUUAAUAUAUACAUAUACACACACGUAAGAGUUAAGAGAAUAGGCCAGGCGCGGUGGCUCAUGCCUGUAAUCCCAGCACUUUGGGAGGCCGAGGUGGGCAGAUCACGAGGUCAGGAGAUCGAGACCAUCCUGGUUAACAUGGUGAAACCCCGUCUCUACUAAAAAUACAAAAAAACUAGCCGGGCAUGGUGGCGGGCGCCUGUAGUCCCAGCUACACGGGAGGCUGAGGCAGGAGAAUGGCGUGAACCCGGGAGGUGGAGCUUGCAGUGAGCCGAGAUCGUGCCACUGCACUCCAGCCUGGGCGACAGAGCGAGACUCCAUCUCAAAAAAAUAUAUAAAUAUUAAAAAAAAUUUUUAAAAUAGACUUAGGACAAUAAAGGCACUUGUAAUUCCACCAAGAAAUGACUGUUAAAUCUAUGCUGUUCAAGUGUGUUCUUUCCUGUCUUCCCCUUAUAAAUACGAAUUUGUGUCCUGCGUUUAAUUUUCAAAGUAAAAUUGGCACCAAAGUGUAGAAAUAAUUUUAUAAUCUGGCUUUUUUCCCCCAUUUACUAUACAUACGUUCCCCCCUCCCCAACCAUUAUAUUGUGAGUAUAAGUAGGGUUUUCUUUCUUUUUUUUUUUUUUUUUUUUGAGACGGAGUUUCACUCUUGUUGCCCAGGCUGGAGUGCAGUGGCGCGAUCUCAGCUUACCACAACCUCCGCCUCCCGGGUUCAAGUGAUUCUCCUGUCUCAGCCUCCUGAGCAGCUGGGAUUACAGGCAUGUGCCACCACGCCCGGCUAAUUUUGUAUUUUUAGUAGAGAUGGGGUUUCUCCACGUUGGUCAGCCUGGUCUCAAACUCCCGACCUCAGGUGAUCCACCUGCCUUGACCUCCCAAAGUGCUGAGAUUACAGGCGUGAGCCACCAUGCCCGGCCAUAUGCAGGGUUUUCUUAAUGUUCUGCCAGCGCGCAGGACCAACAUGAACCUGCCUUUUCUGUGUCUGCUCCAGACUGCUGAGAACAGCUUGGUCUAACCUCUGUGACCAGAGCAUCCCCAAGAUGGAAAACUUGGUAUCUGUAAGACACCAAGAAAACCGAAAUUGUGAAGCAUUAAGCUUGUUCAUACAAGACUUUCCUAGAUUUCCAAGAUGAAAUAGCCAGGGCCACACAGCCUGCAGAUGACCAGC